Etheostoma cragini (Arkansas darter) is the source of this 125-nucleotide long non-coding RNA. RefSeq lists it as uncharacterized. Lineage: Eukaryota; Metazoa; Chordata; Actinopteri; Perciformes; Percidae. The record is from RefSeq and is a predicted model, not a curated record. The transcript has 4 exons.
UUUUGGGAAAAGCCACGCUCUUUUCUCCACGCUCUUUUUCUAACGUUUCCUUUUUUUUCGUGAAUGUAAGCACAGUAAGGCUGAUAAUGUCACACCAUUUAACUCUUUUUGAAAAUAAAGGCAUA